GCUCCUUUGUCCACGAGAUUUUCCAGGCAAAAAUACUGGAGCAGGUUGCCAUUCCCUUCUCCAGGGGAUCUUCCUGACCCAGGGAUCGAACCUGCAUCUCCUGCAUUGGGAGAUGGAUUCUUUACCACUGAGUCACCUGGGAAGCCUGAAUUAGCAAUACUGAGUCUUUAUUCCUAGGGAAAAUACAGCACUAGGUUUUUGUGAGCCUCUAAUCACAUUUUUUUCAAUUGAUCAAACUUAACCUUGUUUUAUGCGUAUUUCUGCUCGGACACAUUACUUGGUAUAUAUCGUUGAUUCGAAAUGGACACAACUGCUCUAACACACCUGUUUUCUCUGUAAUCCACAUCACAACUUUCUUGCAGUUAGAAAGCACUUCAGCACGAUGUUUGGGGCCAUUUGAAAGAGCACAGUCACUCACAAAAAGCACAAAAUUGUGAAGAGCCCUGCACUAGAUGGAUCACGGAAAGGACAUGUUAACAGUGUGAGCUGUAACAGGAGGGUGGAGCAUCGGUCGGCUUGCUGGACUUCAGCUGGGAGUUUGCACGUGGGGCCACUCUUCGAAUGUCCACCAGCGACCCUGAAGGCAUGAUUCCCUUGGCCUCAGCACCAAAGCAGAGGAGACCCAGAAGGAUAAGCCAGAACAUUGGAGAGCUGGGUCCCCACCCCAACAGCAGGACCCACAGGCCAGGUCUCACUGGGCUCUUGACGCAGAGCAGUGCCUCCAUCCAUCAGCAUCCUCUAAAGCCAAGGAGACCCUGCUUCCAGGAGGCAGUGAGGAGGCUGGGAGAGAGGAGGUGGCCUGCAGCAGCAGCUACGUGGCUCCCUCCUGCAGAGGGCCUCCCGAGCCCCAGCCUAACAUGGGCCUUUGCAGGCGGAAACCCAAGUCAGAGCCUGCAGGUUCCUGACCACCCAGCAGUGGAGGCUGGGCUCACCCUCGAUCGUGUCUCUUGCCCCAGCAUUUUCUGCUCAGGGCUGCCCACUCGGGCCUUGUGAUAAAGGUACAUUUCCCGGUUGGUUAUUUUCAUGGGAAAAGUCUCGUGUUUGGGGCAGGGAGGGAUUGACAGGGGAGAGGGGUGAUGGACUUUGUUUUCUACCCAGGAAGAGAAUGGAGACCGAGGGAGCAGACCCAGCUCUGAGGAAGCAGACACCCGGUGAAUCCUAAAGGAAAUCAACCCUGAUUACUCAUUGGAAGGACUGACUGAUGCUGUAGAUGAAGCUCUGAUAAUUUAGCCACCUGGUACAAAGAGCCGACUCACUGGAAAAUUCCCUGAUGCUGGGAAAGAUUGAGGGCAGGAGAAGGGGACGAUAGAGGACAAGAUGGUUGGAUGGCAUCACUGACUCGAGGGACAUGAGUUUGAGCAAGCUCUGGGAGUUGGUGAUGAACAGGGAGGCCUGGUGUGCUGCAGUCCACGGGGUCGCAAAGAGUCCGACACGACUGAGCGACUGAACAACAAUCAGGCCCCCGGAGCCUGUCCCCAGGCACAGCCAGCUCUCCCGGGGCCUCCCCUGCUGUGUCCCGCAGCUCCACCCAGGAAGGGAGGCUGUGUGACCUCCUGUGCAGCAUGGAGGGCCCUUCAGGAACAGGCUGACAGCAGAGGAGACAGGGAACCAGUGGGAGAAGGACCUCCUCCAGAGCCCCACCCCAGCCUCCCUUCCCUCUGGAUGUUAGAGCCAGAGGCCCAGCCACCAUCACCACCCACCCUGGGCCAUCUGCUUUGGCCCCAGACCCUGGGCAGGAGGGGCCUGCAGGCUGCCCACGCACCCGUGUCUCAUGUGUGAGGGGUGGGCAGGGAGAGAUGGUUCCCAAAGACCCGCAGCUGCCAGACCAACUUCCCCAUGUCAGCAAGAUUUGUAAGGCCCUCAAGUGACUGCUCGGGGUUGGGGUGUCAACCCAGCACCUCUGCUCCCCUCUAAAGCUCAGAACUGCCCUUCCCAGAAGACGCUUCCCUGCUGGGUUUGAAUAGUAAGAUUUGCAAGAUGGAAGUGAAGUCCAAAGUUAGGGGUCAUGCCAGACACAUGGAAGUCCCCCCCGGCCCCAGGUGUCCUGGCUCCCCUCCUGUCCCACGUCCAGCCUGUCUGCCUGAUCGCUGCAGCCUCCAGCGGUCCCCAGGCCACCACCAGGCACCGUAUCAGGGCAGCAGCCUCCUCAGACCUCUCCCCGCGCUCUCUCUCCAUGGCCUCACCCCGCCAAUCUCCCCGCAGGCUUGAGCCCAAGUCCCAAGGAGGCCACAGGGACUGAGGGGCAGAGCUGGCCUGUGGCUCCUCCCAGAGAGACCGUGGGCUGUAGUGGCCAGAAUGCAAACAGGCUAUCAGCCCGCCACUGCCCUGCCUGUGGGAGCUCAGCCGAGUCCCCCGUCCCGCGCCCCUGUUGCCGCAUCGGAGUUUUGGAUGGUAGUGAUUCUCUACAGGGUGUCUGCGAGGGUUUGAGAGCGUGUUCUAAAGCUCCUGGUCAUGGAAGGUGCCCGUUCAGUGAUCAGUGAGAUUACCCCUCGUGUGAACAUUCAUAUUACUUGUUUUUCUAAAACGUAUGCCCUUUUCACCUGAAUCUACAUUCGAAUGUACAUUUAAAAAAU
RNAcentral lists this long non-coding RNA (2573 nucleotides) under Capra hircus (goat). RNAcentral's name for it is "lncRNA (ENSCHIG00000001094.1)". The record is from RNAcentral. Lineage: Eukaryota; Metazoa; Chordata; Mammalia; Artiodactyla; Bovidae.